RNAcentral lists this ribosomal RNA (1434 nucleotides) under uncultured bacterium. Its description in RNAcentral is "bacterial SSU rRNA". It matches the Rfam family "Bacterial small subunit ribosomal RNA". The record is from RNAcentral.
AGAGUUUGAUCCUGGCUCAGGAUGAACGCCGGCGGUGUGCCUAAUACAUGCAAGUCGUACGCACUGGCCCAACUGAUUGAUGGUGCUUGCACCUGAUUGACGAUGGAUCACCAGUGAGUGGCGGACGGGUGAGUAACACGUAGGUAACCUGCCUCGGAGCGGGGGAUAACAUUUGGAAACAGAUGCUAAUACCGCAUAACAACAAAAGCCACAUGGCUUUUGUUUGAAAGAUGGCUUUGGCUAUCACUCUGGGAUGGACCUGCGGUGCAUUAGCUAGUUGGUAAGGUAACGGCUUACCAAGGCAAUGAUGCAUAGCCGAGUUGAGAGACUGAUCGGCCACAAUGGAACUGAGACACGGUCCAUACUCCUACGGGAGGCAGCAGUAGGGAAUCUUCCACAAUGGGCGCAAGCCUGAUGGAGCAACACCGCGUGAGUGAAGAAGGGUUUCGGCUCGUAAAGCUCUGUUGUUGGAGAAGAACGUGCGUGAGAGUAACUGUUCACGCAGUGACGGUAUCCAACCAGAAAGUCACGGCUAACUACGUGCCAGCAGCCGCGGUAAUACGUAGGUGGCAAGCGUUAUCCGGAUUUAUUGGGCGUAAAGCGAGCGCAGGCGGUUGCUUAGGUCUGAUGUGAAAGCCUUCGGCUUAACCGAAGAAGUGCAUCGGAAACCGGGCGACUUGAGUGCAGAAGAGGACAGCGGAACUCCAUGUGUAGCGGUGGAAUGCGUAGAUAUAUGGAAGAACACCAGUGGCGAAGGCGGCUGUCUGGUCUGCAACUGACGCUGAGGCUCGAAAGCAUGGGUAGCGAACAGGAUUAGAUACCCUGGUAGUCCAUGCCGUAAACGAUGAGUGCUAGGUGUUGGAGGGUUUCCGCCCUUCAGUGCCGGAGCUAACGCAUUAAGCACUCCGCCUGGGGAGUACGACCGCAAGGUUGAAACUCAAAGGAAUUGACGGGGGCCCGCACAAGCGGUGGAGCAUGUGGUUUAAUUCGAAGCUACGCGAAGAACCUUACCAGGUCUUGACAUCUUGCGCUAACCUUAGAGAUAAGGCGUUCCCUUCGGGGACGCAAUGACAGGUGGUGCAUGGUCGUCGUCAGCUCGUGUCGUGAGAUGUUGGGUUAAGUCCCGCAACGAGCGCAACCCUUGUUACUAGUUGCCAGCAUUAAGUUGGGCACUCUAGUGAGACUGCCGGUGACAAACCGGAGGAAGGUGGGGACGACGUCAGAUCAUCAUGCCCCUUAUGACCUGGGCUACACACGUGCUACAAUGGACGGUACAACGAGUCGCAAGCUCGCGAGAGUAAGCUAAUCUCUUAAAGCCGUUCUCAGUUCGGACUGUAGGCUGCAACUCGCCUACACGAAGUCGGAAUCGCUAGUAAUCGCGGAUCAGCAUGCCGCGGUGAAUACGUUCCCGGGCCUUGCACACACCGCCCGUCA